This is a long non-coding RNA of Hyla sarda, 1094 nucleotides long. RefSeq lists it as uncharacterized. The transcript is spliced from 6 exons. Lineage: Eukaryota; Metazoa; Chordata; Amphibia; Anura; Hylidae. The record is from RefSeq and is a predicted model, not a curated record.
UUAACCGGCACCAACCGGGAACACAGCCACACCGGAAGUUACCUUGGGCUAAGUCAAAACGUAGCACUUCCGCUUCUCAGCGGAAGACGCCGUGCCGCCUUCUUAAGUGAGGGCAAAGAGCGCCUUCUGACAGUGACGGCAACAAACAAAGACACUAUCACCUCACAACAACAAACGUACCUAAUGAUUCAAAGUCCCAUGAUUCCUACCUUAUAUCUACUCCCUAAAGUCCACAAUCAGGCCACUAAUCCACCAGGUAGGCCAAUCACGUUGAAACGUUAUAAUAUGUGGAAACCUAUUUGUAAACUAAUAGACCAUGUCCUGAGACCGCAGGUUGAGACGUUACCCUCCUAUAUUAAAGACACCACAGAUACCCUACGAAGAAUGGAAGAUAUACAAUUAGAUGACGACAUGUGCAUAGUUACAAACGACGUGGAGUCCUUGUAUACAUCAAUCCGACGGCAAGAUGGACUUCGGGAAGUUUGAGAAUUCCUUAGGAUGUCAGAAAUUGACAAGGAUAUAGGGCUUUCUGGAGAAUCUGCAGAUAUUUAGGACAACUUUGAACAUGAAUGACCAGAACAUCACACUCACCUACAAAGCAGGUAGAAAUCGUAUGGAUUUUCUGGACAUUUCCUUUGGAGUUGACCAUAAGGGAUGAGAUGUUUGAGAACCGAGCCAUCAAACUUUGGAACAGAUUCUCCGAGAGAGGCUACAAGGACAACUGGAUUCGCUGGGCCUAUUUAAGGGCCAAGCACACCAGUAGGAGAAGUCUACUGCAACCCAGAAAUAGGAACAAGAAGGACAACCAGGCAUGACUACACGUGAACUUAAGAAAAGAAUCAGAGAACAUGUCCUUGGGAUCCUAUCAGCGAAAAACAAAAUGGACCUCACACGUCUGACAACUGUUCCCAGAUAUUUCAAGAUACACCAUGACUGUGACCCAAAAGGCCUGAAGGUCGGCCGAAUCCCUCUCCUACACGCUCUGACAUUGUUACAUGUUUUCUCUGCGUCCUUUGCACAUGUCCUUUUCAUUUUCCAUUCUAUGCUUUUAAAUGUAUGUCCGAUUUUUGAUAUAGAUUAAAUAAAAUCUACCA